GCGCGGGCAGCGCCAGCAGGAAACCCUUGACGCCGUCUGACAGAGCGGCCGCGUCCCACUGCUCCACGUCGCUCAGGGACCAGUCUGCGGUGCAGGGGACACGCGGGAAGAGAAGGCCACGUGAAGACAGAGGCAGGGACUAGGGUGACGUGGCCACAAGCCCAGGACGCCUGGGGCCCAGAAGCAAGGCAGGCCCCUCCCCUUGAGCCUCCAGAGAGAGGGCAGCCCUGAGACACCUGGACUUGGGGCUCUUGGCCCCCAGGCCGUGAGAGGAGAAACUGCUGUUGUUGGGAGCUCCUCACAGCAGCCCAGGGACAGCACACAGCAGGCUGAGGCACUGCCAGUGCUCGCUGUGCAGCCUCAGGCACAGGACGCGCCCUCUCCACGCCUCAGUUUCCUCAACUGAGAAAAUGACCGAUGGCGUCAUCGCUCCCUUAGUGGGAACAACAAAGUGGUUGAAAAGAACAAAUGGAAAAUA
Non-coding RNA from Equus caballus (horse), 478 nucleotides. The record is from RefSeq and is a predicted model, not a curated record. Lineage: Eukaryota; Metazoa; Chordata; Mammalia; Perissodactyla; Equidae.